UACGUAGGGGGCAAGCGUUGUCCGGAAUUAUUGGGCGUAAAGAGCUCGUAGGCGGUUUGUUGCGUCGGCUGUGAAAUCCCGAGGCUCAACCUCGGGUCUGCAGUCGAUACGAGCAAACUAGAGUGUUGCAGGGGAGACUGGAAUUCCUGGUGUAGCGGUGAAAUGCGCAGAUAUCAGGAGGAACACCGGUGGCGAAGGCGGGUCUCUGGGCCGUAACUGACGCUGAGGAGCGAAAGCGUGGGGAGCGAACAGG
This 253-nucleotide ribosomal RNA is filed under the name uncultured bacterium. Its description in RNAcentral is "partial 16S ribosomal RNA". It matches the Rfam family "Bacterial small subunit ribosomal RNA", at positions 524 to 776 of the family's 1533-position model. The record is from RNAcentral.